AAUCAACUUUUUUUUUCACUUUUUUUCCAUCUUCUUGAAAUCUACCCGUCCGAAUCGGUUGAAAUUUUCAGGAAAUCUAAGUUCGAUGGAGCUCUUUAGAACACCGAAGUUUGGUUUCAAUCGGUCCAACCGUUCAAAAGUUAUAAGAGGUUUACACACACACACACACACACACACACACACACACA
Molecule: long non-coding RNA, 188 nt
Organism: Cotesia glomerata
Lineage: Eukaryota; Metazoa; Arthropoda; Insecta; Hymenoptera; Braconidae
Exons: 3
Source: RefSeq, a predicted model, not a curated record